UACGGGAGGCAGCAGUGGGGAAUAUUGCACAAUGGGCGCAAGCCUGAUGCAGCCAUGCCGCGUGUAUGAAGAAGGCCUUCGGGUUGUAAAGUACUUUCAGUCGUGAGGAAGGUGUUAAGGUUAAUAACCUUAGCAAUUGACGUUAGCGACAGAAGAAGCACCGGCUAACUCCGUGCCAGCAGCCGCGGUAAUACGGAGGGUGCGAGCGUUAAUCGGAAUUACUGGGCGUAAAGGGCACGCAGGCGGUUAAUUAAGUUGGAUGUGAAUCCCCGGGCUUAACCUGGGAAUGGCAUUCAAGACUGGUUAGCUAGAGUCUUGUAGAGGGGGUAGAAUUCCAUGUGUAGCGGUGAAAUGCGUAGAGAUGUGGAGGAAUACCGGUGGCGAAGGCGGCCCCUGGACAAAGACUGACGCUCAUGUGCGAAGCGUGGGGAGCAAACAGGGAUUAGAUACC
Molecule: ribosomal RNA, 451 nt
Filed under: uncultured bacterium
Lineage: Bacteria
Description: bacterial SSU rRNA
Rfam family: Bacterial small subunit ribosomal RNA
Source: RNAcentral